This 21-nucleotide non-coding RNA is filed under the name Arabidopsis thaliana (thale cress). The record is from RNAcentral. Lineage: Eukaryota; Viridiplantae; Streptophyta; Magnoliopsida; Brassicales; Brassicaceae.
UAUAUUAUGAUGGUAGUCCAA